RNAcentral lists this ribosomal RNA (253 nucleotides) under uncultured bacterium. RNAcentral's name for it is "partial 16S ribosomal RNA". It matches the Rfam family "Bacterial small subunit ribosomal RNA", at positions 524 to 776 of the family's 1533-position model. The record is from RNAcentral.
GACAGAGGGUGCAAGCGUUAAUCGGAAUUACUGGGCGUAAAGUGUGCGCAGGCGGCAGAGCAAGUCGAGUGUGAAAGCCCCGGGCUUAACUUGGGAAUUGCGCUCGAAACUACUUUGCUGGAGUGUGGCAGAGGAAGGUGGAAUUCCACGUGUAGCGGUGAAAUGCGUAGAGAUGUGGAGGAACACCAAUGGCGAAGGCAGCCUUCUGGGCCAACACUGACGCUCAUGCACGAAAGCGUGGGGAGCAAACAGG